ACCAAUCCAUUGAACAAAAAGAUACAUUCUCCCUUUUCCCACAACAAAGAUCCAGUUCCCAUUAAUCUCUUUAUCUACCUUAUGAUUUUUAUUUCUUUUCAAGUAUAUAUAGAAUCCCUAUUUAAGAUUUUAACCGUAAUGAUUAGGACUUUAUCUUGUAACUUGAUAUUUUAUAACUAACCUAAUGCAAUGUACCUUAUAUAAAAGAAUAAAAAAGUAGCAGUGGAAAACAUGUCAGCUCAUAUAUAUAAAUACAAAUUGCAACAAUUCAUAUGGGCAUUCUUAUCAUUUUUUUCUCUCCUCUCUCCCUCCUUCUUCCUUCUCCUCCUUUUCAUUUUCUCCUUCUCCUUUUUCUUCAUCUUCUUUCUCUUCUUUUUCUUCUUCUUGUUUGUCUUCUUCCCCCUCUCUCUUUAUUCUCUCCCCAACAGGAUGUGUUCCUUGCCAUCAGUCAACACCAUUUAUUUAUAUGGUAUCUUACCUCGUGAUGAAAGGAGAUAAGCUAUGAGGACGCAAAGGCAUAAGAAUGAUACAAUGGACUCUGCGGACUUGAGGGGGAAGAAUGGGAGCGAAGGAGGGAUAAAAGACUACAAAUAUGGUGCAGUAUAUACUGAUCAGGUGAUGGGUGCACCCAAAUCUCACAAAUCACCACUAAAGAUCUUACUCAUGUAACCGAAGACCACUUGUACCCCAAUAACUUAUG
This 700-nucleotide long non-coding RNA is filed under the name Homo sapiens (human). RNAcentral's name for it is "HSALNT0205027". The record is from RNAcentral. Lineage: Eukaryota; Metazoa; Chordata; Mammalia; Primates; Hominidae.